RNAcentral lists this transfer RNA (74 nucleotides) under Oscillospiraceae bacterium. RNAcentral's name for it is "tRNA-Gly". It matches the Rfam family "tRNA". From Rfam's summary of the family: Transfer RNA (tRNA) molecules are approximately 80 nucleotides in length. The record is from RNAcentral. Lineage: Bacteria; Bacillati; Bacillota; Clostridia; Eubacteriales; Oscillospiraceae.
GCAGGUGUUGCAUAAUGGCAGUGCCCCAGCUUCCCAAGCUGGUUGCGUGGGUUCGAUUCCCAUCACCUGCUCCA